GUGCCAGCAGCCGCGGUAAUACGUAGGGUGCGAGCGUUGUCCGGAAUUACUGGGCGUAAAGGGCUCGUAGGUGGUUUGUCGCGUCGUCUGUGAAAUUCCGGGGCUUAACUCCGGGCGUGCAGGCGAUACGGGCAUAACUUGAGUACUGUAGGGGUAACUGGAAUUCCUGGUGUAGCGGUGAAAUGCGCAGAUAUCAGGAGGAACACCGAUGGCGAAGGCAGGUUACUGGGCAGUUACUGACGCUGAGGAGCGAAAGCAUGGGUAGCGAACAGGAUUAGAUACCCUGGUAGUCCAUGCCGUAAACGGUGGGCGCUAGGUGUGAGUCCCUUCCACGGGGUUCGUGCCGUAGCUAACGCAUUAAGCGCCCCGCCUGGGGAGUACGGCCGCAAGGCUAAAACUCAAAGGAAUUGACGGGGGCCCGCACAAGCGGCGGAGCAUGUGGAUUAAUUCGAUGCAACGCGAAGAACCUUACCUGGGCUUGACAUACACCAGAUCGCCGUAGAGAUACGGUUUCCCUUUGUGGUUGGUGUACAGGUGGUGCAUGGUUGUCGUCAGCUCGUGUCGUGAGAUGUUGGGUUAAGUCCCGCAACGAGCGCAACCCUUGUCUUAUGUUGCCAGCAAUUUGGUUGGGGACUCGUGAGAGACUGCCGGGGUUAACUCGGAGGAAGGUGGGGAUGACGUCAAAUCAUCAUGCCCCUUAUGUCCAGGGCUUCACACAUGCUACAAUGGUCGGUACAACGCGUUUGCGAGCCUGUGAGGGUGAGCUAAUCGCUGAAAGCCGGUCGUAGUUCGGAUUGGGGUCUGCAACUCGACCCCAUGAAGUCGGAGUCGCUAGUAAUCGCAGAUCAGCAACGCUGCGGUGAAUACGUUCCCGGGCCUUGUACACACCGCCCGUCACGUCAUGAAAGUUGGUAACACCCGAAGCCAGUGGCCUGUCAAAGGGAGCUGUCGAAGGUGGGAUCGGCGAUUGGGACGAAGUCGUAACAAGGUA
This 991-nucleotide ribosomal RNA is filed under the name uncultured Corynebacterium sp. RNAcentral describes it as "bacterial SSU rRNA". It matches the Rfam family "Bacterial small subunit ribosomal RNA", at positions 505 to 1498 of the family's 1533-position model. The record is from RNAcentral. Lineage: Bacteria; Bacillati; Actinomycetota; Actinomycetes; Mycobacteriales; Corynebacteriaceae.